Molecule: transfer RNA, 89 nt
Filed under: Delitschia confertaspora ATCC 74209
Lineage: Eukaryota; Fungi; Ascomycota; Dothideomycetes; Pleosporales; Delitschiaceae
Rfam family: tRNA
About the family: Transfer RNA (tRNA) molecules are approximately 80 nucleotides in length. Their secondary structure includes four short double-helical elements and three loops (D, anti-codon, and T loops).
Source: Rfam by way of RNAcentral
GGUCGAUUAGCUCAGCUGGUUAGAGCGUGGUGCUAAUAGUUUCAUACUCGUUAACGCCAAGGUCGUGGGUUCGAUCCCCACAUUGACCU